Molecule: ribosomal RNA, 426 nt
Filed under: Vibrio pelagius
Lineage: Bacteria; Pseudomonadati; Pseudomonadota; Gammaproteobacteria; Vibrionales; Vibrionaceae
Description: bacterial SSU rRNA
Rfam family: Bacterial small subunit ribosomal RNA
Source: RNAcentral
UAAUGGCUCACCAAGGCGACGAUCCCUAGCUGGUCUGAGAGGAUGAUCAGCCACACUGGAACUGAGACACGGUCCAGACUCCUACGGGAGGCAGCAGUGGGGAAUAUUGCACAAUGGGCGCAAGCCUGAUGCAGCCAUGCCGCGUGUAUGAAGAAGGCCUUCGGGUUGUAAAGUACUUUCAGCAGUGAGGAAGGGGGUGUCGUUAAUAGCGGCAUCUCUUGACGUUAGCUGCAGAAGAAGCACCGGCUAACUCCGUGCCAGCAGCCGCGGUAAUACGGAGGGUGCGAGCGUUAAUCGGAAUUACUGGGCGUAAAGCGCAUGCAGGUGGUUUGUUAAGUCAGAUGUGAAAGCCCGGGGCUCAACCUCGGAACUGCAUUUGAAACUGGCAAACUAGAGUACUGUAGAGGGGGGUAGAAUUUCAGGUGU